Molecule: ribosomal RNA, 429 nt
Filed under: Chloroflexota bacterium
Lineage: Bacteria; Bacillati; Chloroflexota
Description: Chloroflexi bacterium partial 16S ribosomal RNA
Rfam family: Bacterial small subunit ribosomal RNA
Source: RNAcentral
UGGGGAAUAUUGCACAAUGGGCGCAAGCCUGAUGCAGCCAUGCCGCGUGUAUGAAGAAGGCCUUCGGGUUGUAAAGUACUUUCAGCGGGGAGGAAGGGAGUAAAGUUAAUACCUUUGCUCAUUGACGUUACCCGCAGAAGAAGCACCGGCUAACUCCGUGCCAGCAGCCGCGGUAAUACGGAGGGUGCAAGCGUUAAUCGGAAUUACUGGGCGUAAAGCGCACGCAGGCGGUUUGUUAAGUCAGAUGUGAAAUCCCCGGGCUCAACCUGGGAACUGCAUCUGAUACUGGCAAGCUCGAGUCUCGUAGAGGGGGGUAGAAUUCCAGGUGUAGCGGUGAAAUGCGUAGAGAUCUGGAGGAAUACCGGUGGCGAAGGCGGCCCCCUGGACGAAGACUGACGCUCAGGUGCGAAAGCGUGGGGAGCAAACAGG